GAGUAACGCGGUAUGCAACCUACCUAGUCGAGAGGGGAAUAACCCGGCGAAAGUCGGACUAAUACCGCAUAAAACAGGGGCACCGCAUGGUGAUAUUUGUUAAAGAAAUUCGCUGAUAGGUGGGCAUGCGUUCCAUUAGGUAGUUGGUGAGGUAACGGCUCACCAAGCCGACGAUGGAUAGGGGGACUGAGAGGUUGGUCCCCCCACACUGGUACUGAGACACGGACCAGACUCCUACGGGAGGCAGCAGUGAGGAAUAUUGGUCAAUGGGCGGGAGCCUGAACCAGCCAAGUCGCGUAGAAGGAAGAAGGAUCUAUGGUUCGUAAACUUCUUUUGCAGGGGAAUAAAGUGCAGGACGUGUCCUGUUUUGUAUGUACCCUGAGAAUAAGGAUCGGCUAACUCCGUGCCAGCCGCCGC
RNAcentral lists this ribosomal RNA (417 nucleotides) under uncultured bacterium. RNAcentral's name for it is "bacterial SSU rRNA". It matches the Rfam family "Bacterial small subunit ribosomal RNA", at positions 108 to 518 of the family's 1533-position model. The record is from RNAcentral.